UCUUUGGUUAUCUAGCUGUAUGAGUGACGUACAUUCUUCAUAAAGCUAGAUAACCGAAAGUA
Molecule: microRNA precursor, 62 nt
Organism: Acanthochromis polyacanthus (spiny chromis)
Lineage: Eukaryota; Metazoa; Chordata; Actinopteri; Pomacentridae
Source: Ensembl